ACAGUAGUAGUUCAGUAGUAGAAUUUUCGCUUUCUGUGUGGAAGACCUGGGUUCGAUUCCCGUCCAGUGCA
Molecule: transfer RNA, 71 nt
Filed under: Loxodonta africana (African savanna elephant)
Lineage: Eukaryota; Metazoa; Chordata; Mammalia; Proboscidea; Elephantidae
Rfam family: tRNA
About the family: Transfer RNA (tRNA) molecules are approximately 80 nucleotides in length. Their secondary structure includes four short double-helical elements and three loops (D, anti-codon, and T loops).
Source: Rfam by way of RNAcentral